AGCCCAGGCUCAGACCCCCCUCGGCUUCCAGCACUCUCACUCCCGGCGGUGCCACUGUACUGACCAGAUGUUGCUGUCCGAGCCGGGAGGACAGAGAGUUUGCAGAAUUUGGAACGCGGGAGCCAGGACCCACACCCGAGUCACACCGGCGCCCUAGGAGGUUAGAGAAGGCAAGGUGGCAGGACACCCGCGUGUACAAAGCGCGUGAGCGCGCGACUGCGCGUGUAAAAGGUGGGUGGGGGGCAUUCACCAUCUCGGACCAGAAAGGGAACCAGAGCCUUGGACUCGCCCCAGUCACCUGUCCACCAAAGCUGGUGCGCACAGCCUUCAAGCCUGGUCCCGUCCGAUCCGGGAGAGCCAUGAUCGCUUCCCGGGGACCCUGGGCCCCGCCGCCGGAUGAGAACCUCUUUCACCCUCCUCUCUCCUUCUUACCCGGGCUCCGGUAGAACCGACGCGGGCAGACGGGGCGGCAGCAAGACCCAGCCUCCAGCGGCCGCCAGAAGCGCCAUGAAAGCGCAGCACGCGGCCAAGCCCGAUCCUCCGGCUUCCAGCGCGGGGAGCGCGGGCGGCCCCACUCCGCUUGCCCCAGCCCUGCCCGACCCCUCGAGCGCCCCUCCGUGGGCUGCGGCGCCCGCAGCGCAGCCAGGCAUCCGAGCCAAGCUGCCUUCCCGCCGGUGGCCGUCCGCGGACAGGUGUCCAGCUCCGCUCGGACCCGGGCCCGGCUGCACAGACCUCUUUCACAGCUACGCCCCUGUCCCGGAACGGUCCCAGGGACUCUCGGUGCAGACUCCGGUUACACACUGUAAAUUCAACUUUACCUCCUGCCCGGGCUCCCAGCUGCUCGCUCUGCGUGCCGGGCCGUGGCUCUCCUCCGGGUGGAGCGCAGCGUCCCCAGAGCCCACAGCUCAGAGUCCGGCACCGCCCCGUGAGCCGCCCCCAGGCCGCCCUGGCCAGCGAGUCCCCGCUACGGUAGCGCGGCGCCCCCUCGUGCCCAGCGGGUCCCAGGGCGAGGCCCCCACUGUGGCUUGGGAAGCUCCAGGCUGGGCUCUUUGGGCACUGUGUGGGACCAUGGAGGGACAAAGGCAUGGCUUCCGCACCCAGGCACCCAAACACAUGGGCUUCUACACUCACAUUCAGCCGCACUCAAAAAGGCACACAGGUGCACUCACAUGAAUUCACAAGCUCACCAGAACUCACGUUCACCACCCAUACACACCUGAGGGUCGUCAUACAAUCACAUAGGCACACGCACAUGGUUUAUGCAUAAGCGCUUGAUCACACAUACAUGGGAGCUAAUAGUGCAUACAUGAGACACACUGGUGCACACCCUCACACACAGCUAUUUGUAUAGCUCAAGCCAAGUAAGGAACCCACUCACCUGAAUUCAGAGCCCAUGCCAUUUGAGACGCGUGGACUGGCCCCUCCGAAGCCGUGCUCCAGGGGAAGGAAACAAGCUCUUUCAAACAAACUCCAGAGACAUUUAGGAUGGGAAUGUAGUUUUCCAGUCUACGGACAAGUUCCAACUGUGAGAUCUGGAGAUCCAGCAAGCAGAGGCUCUGCGAUCCUUCCUAUGACAGGGGUAUUUUAUGGAUCCGGUGGCGGGAGGCCUCUGGUGGCUACUGUGUCACUGUUUGCAUGGAGAGGGCGAUAUUCUUUCCCAGCCUCUGUCCUGGAUUAGGCCUGGAAGAGAGGCGUUUUCUCCUUGGAAACCGUUCAUUGGAUUUAGAGCCCAGGCUCUACUAACUACCCAGAGCCCAAGUCACCAAGUUCCUUCCACAGGAAAUGGCUGCUUCUGGGAUCUGUGACCUUUGAGGCAGUUCUGUUUGUCAACACAAUCUGUCGGGGGCGGAGGGGGGGCAGAUGCUCCUGGCCAGCCCUGUGGAUACUCAGUGACAGAGGUAGAACGAACUGGGAACGCCUCUGAUGCAUUGAUAAGCAGAUUGAUAAGCGAGGUAACUCAGCGGAAGCUCUCAGCUAGCGCCCAGCUGCACACGUUCUCAUAGGCACAGACAAUCCAGGUGGUUCCUGGACCGCUUAUUGUCUGGCCCUAUACUGUUCGUCUUGGGAGGAAAUGGCCAGGUCCAACUGCACCCUAGCCACCCUUUUAGACCCUCACUUUGUGCCAAGUCUCUGGGUCACAGUGACCACGCAGUGGAACUAGCCUGUCUCCCUCCCCCACUUUUGAAGAUUGUCAUUAUCCAUUCCUGACACCCUGCACAUUUGCAGACAACUUGACUCCCAGUCUCCAGGUCUUUACAUCCCACCUAGGCAGUUGUUGGGAUUCAUUUCCCUGAUCCGAUAUUCAGGUGGUUUUUUUCUUUGUUUGUUUGUUUUGGGUUUUUUCUUUUUGAUUCUUUGAAAUGUAGAUUAUUACAAUUUGUUCCUAUUAAAUUUCACCUUGUUCAUUUUUAUUUCAUAUUUAUUUUCGUGAGCUUGUCGGGUGCUUUAGGAUCUUAGAUUUACCCUGUUCCCUUGUCUCCUUGGACAGAUACAAACUUGACUGGUUGCCUGGCUCAUCCUCAGUAUGGGUCUUGUGCUGCAACAAGGCCCCGCACGGGAGUGCAGUCGGUGUUUCUGACAAGAACCAACUUCUGUGGGCCCAGAUAUCAGUGUCGGUGCUGGUCCCCACUUGGCUAUCCUAUCGGUCCAGCAUUUCCCAUGUGUUUUAGAAGGAUGCCAGCAUUGAUUUACUGUCCUCCGAAACUGAAAUAUAAUUGGUGGCACAAUUAAACCUUCGAGUCUACUACCAGUAUUGCACACAUACCAAAACAGGAAAGCGACCCUAGUGUGAUUUCAUCAUCGGUGUCCACCACUCUGAUUUGGUGUUUUGGAGAUCAGCGCAAGUAAGCUCCUCUGCCUGGGUUGCAUAGGAGUCUGUGUGUCCUUGAUCUCUCUCUGAGUGUCCUUGUGUGUACACCGAAAACAAUGGCAAGAAUUCCAUGUUGUCUCCUUUGGUAAUCUAGUUUGUUAUUGGGAAUGCCAGACUCACUGUAAGCAGGAAAAAAAAAAAGCUUGCAAAACACUAAAAUAAAAAGUUACAUAUUUCA
Long non-coding RNA from Mus musculus (house mouse), 3047 nucleotides. RefSeq annotates it as RIKEN cDNA D330025C20 gene. The record is from RefSeq and is marked validated. Lineage: Eukaryota; Metazoa; Chordata; Mammalia; Rodentia; Muridae. The transcript has a single exon.